AGAGUUUGAUCCUGGCUCAGGAUGAACGCUAGCUACAGGCUUAACACAUGCAAGUCGAGGGGAAACGAUAUUGGAAGCUUGCUUCCGAUAGGCGUCGACCGGCGCACGGGUGAGUAACGCGUAUCCAACCUGCCCAUCACUUGGGGAUAACCUUGCGAAAGUAAGACUAAUACCCAAUGACGUCUCUAGAAGACAUCUGAAAGAGAUUAAAGAUUUAUCGGUGAUGGAUGGGGAUGCGUCUGAUUAGCUUGUUGGCGGGGUAACGGCCCACCAAGGCGACGAUCAGUAGGGGUUCUGAGAGGAAGGUCCCCCACAUUGGAACUGAGACACGGUCCAAACUCCUACGGGAGGCAGCAGUGAGGAAUAUUGGUCAAUGGACGAGAGUCUGAACCAGCCAAGUAGCGUGCAGGAUGACGGCCCUAUGGGUUGUAAACUGCUUUUAUAAGGGAAUAAAGUGGGAGUCGUGACUCCUUUUGCAUGUACCUUAUGAAUAAGGACCGGCUAAUUCCGUGCCAGCAGCCGCGGUAAUACGGAAGGUCCGGGCGUUAUCCCGAUUUAUUUGGGUUUAAAGGGAGCGUAGGCCGGAAAUUUAAGCGUGUUGGAAAAUGUAGACGCUCAACGUCUGCACUGCAGCGCGAACUGGUUUCCUUGAGUACGCACAAAGUGGGCGGAAUUCGUGGUGUAGCGGUGAAAUGCUUAGAUAUCACGAAGAACUCCGAUUGCGAAGGCAGCUCACUGGAGCGCAACUGACGCUGAAGCUCGAAAGUGCGGGUAUCGAACAGGAUUAGAUACCCUGGUAGUCCACGCCGUAAACGAUGAAUACUAGGUGUAGGGGCCCCAAGCCUCUGUGCCGCCGCUAACGCAUUAAGUAUUCCGCCUGGGGAGUACGGUCGCAAGAUUAAAACUCAAAGGAAUUGACGGGGACCCGCACAAGCAGCGGAGCAUGUGGUUUAAUUCGAAGCAACGCGAAGAACCUUACCUAGACUUGACAUGUCCUGAAUUACCAGUAAUGUGGGAAGUUCCUUCGGGAACAGGAACACAGGUGGUGCAUGGUUGUCGUCAGCUCGUGUCGUGAGAUGUUGGGUUAAGUCCCGCAACGAGCGCAACCCUUAUUGUUAGUUGGUACCAUUAAGUUGACCACUCUAGCGAGACUGCCCGGGUUAACCGGGAGGAAGGUGGGGAUGACGUCAAAUCAUCAUGCCCCUUAUGUCUAGGGCUACACACGUGCUACAAUGGCAAGUACAAAGAGAAGCAAUACUGUGAAGUGGAGCAAAACUCAAAAACUUGUCUCAGUUCGGAUUGUAGGCUGAAACUCGCCUACAUGAAGCUGGAAUCGCUAGUAAUCGCAGAUCAGAAUGCUGCGGUGAAUACGUUCCCGGGUCUUGUACUCACCGCCCGUCAAG
RNAcentral lists this ribosomal RNA (1403 nucleotides) under uncultured bacterium. RNAcentral's name for it is "bacterial SSU rRNA". It matches the Rfam family "Bacterial small subunit ribosomal RNA". The record is from RNAcentral.